UCCAUAGGCCCCGGACAGGCUCUGAAUUUCUUUUUGUCCGAUCCAUGCGAAGGUAAAAACGCGACUUUGUGCGAGCCUGUCUAUCUGGCGGUGUAUUUCUCGACGACAAACUGCGCAUGUACAGAACGUACAUGUGAGUUGCCGAGUCAGAUCAAGUUCACAAUACAGAAAGGCACUAGUCUGGCUACUCGUCACCAAACCCCACUCGCCUUCGUCCUCGCGGCAAUCCUGGCGCUAGCUUACAAUUACUAAAAGCACUUUUACUCUACGACAACAAUACACUAAACAUCAACAACAUGUGAAACAUAUAACAAUAAACAACAAAAGCAACAUGUAAAACAUUAAACGAUACACUCAACAACAACAACAUGUUCACCAAAUAACAAUACACUUAACAACAAGAUGUGUAGAAUAUAACAACGGCCACAAAGUCUGUGUGAACAAUAAAGUGUAUGAUUUUCCGUCAACUCGCCACAACCAACUCGUCACUCCUUUGGAGAGUUGGCGGAUGGUGCUGGCGGCGAGUUGGCCGGAUACCAGUCGCAUCUGAAAGAGUUUGGUAUAAACAGUGGUAGCUUCAACAUCUAAUAACACUGAUAUUAGAUGCACAUCUAAUAACAUCUAAUAACAAAUGACAACGUUAAAUAUCCCUUACUUGUUUUUAUUUUCUUGUAAUAAUCAUUACACGUACAAUAAGGUUGAAGAGUUUGCUUACAAAUAAAAUUUACAUUCGUGUUA
Long non-coding RNA from Nematostella vectensis (starlet sea anemone), 738 nucleotides. RefSeq lists it as uncharacterized. NCBI's taxonomy places the organism in Eukaryota, Metazoa, Cnidaria, Anthozoa, Actiniaria, Edwardsiidae. The record is from RefSeq and is a predicted model, not a curated record. The transcript is spliced from 4 exons.